This 3420-nucleotide long non-coding RNA is filed under the name Glycine max (soybean). RNAcentral's name for it is "long non-coding RNA (GMAX_LNC001231)". Lineage: Eukaryota; Viridiplantae; Streptophyta; Magnoliopsida; Fabales; Fabaceae. The record is from RNAcentral.
AAAAAACUUCUCCUACCAAAUGCUCCCUUAGGGUAACUCAAUUCCUUUUUUUUUUCUCUCUCUACAUAAUAGUACAUGUUGCAUUUUGGUUAUGUGAAGCAAUAUCUAUGUAUUUAUAAGUUUAAUUCCAAUAUUAAGAUUUUUAUAAUUAUAUAUCUAUUAUUUAUCAUACACGCACAUGCAAACUAUUAAAUUACAUAACUAACAUAAGCCCAAAGGCCCAUAUUGAUUGUUUGAGUGUAAUCCUAAGUCCCUUUAUUUAUAUCAUAAACAUAGGGCCACAUACAUAUUGAUUUAGGAGGUCGUUCCCCUGCCUCUUCCCUCCCCCAUUUCUUCAUUUUCAUGCUCCUAUCUUUUCAUAUAUGGAAGACAUGACAUAAUGUGCUUCUUACUGGCAAGAUCUUCAUUCUUAUUUUUUCUAGUCUUUCUUAUUCUUCUUCUUUUUCUUUUUCCUUGUCUUUUAUUUCUUAUUAAUUUGUUUAUGUUCAAUUUGUUUGCUCAAUAACCUAGCCAUCAAAUUAUAAUCAGGCAAUUGAGUUUUGCUAGUACAAUUUAGUUUAGGUUCAAUUUAAUUACAUCAACCUCAGUUUGUUUGCAUUUUUAAUUCGAUAACUUGACUAAAUCGAUCAUGGGUUUGAUUCUAGGUCGGAUUGACCAAUCCGGUUCGAACUUUACAACAUUAUCUAUGAUCUAUAUUAAAAGAAUAACAAGUAAGCUACUACAAUUUAUUCAGAAGCCUUGUUAAUGUUUAUUUAUUUAUUUUAAUUUAAUAACUAAAAAAUUCUCCAUUUUUUUGCCUUUCCCCUUUCAGGAUAGAUCUCACAUUAUCUUAGCACUCCCACUUCAUCAUAUAUUUGCACUCUCACAUCACCAUCGUCACAUUCACAUUUCAAUUCUCUUCUUAGGUAUGUUUCUUUUCACCAUCUAUUUUCUUCUCACUAGUAUUUCUUUAUUCUUAAGUGAGUUAAGUCUAACUGUUUCUCUUUAUUUUAAUGUUUAUGCCUUUUGCAAGUCCUUGUUUCUCUCUUUACCUUCGUAGGUGCUUGAUUCUUUUUCUCUACCUUUGUAGGACUCUUUGCCUUCGCAGUUUCUCUUAACAUUUAACAUCGUAAGUCCUCAAAGAUUGGUUUUGAUUCUACAAUUACGGUUUAUGGCUUUCAUUGCAUGUAGUUUAUAGCUUGCAUCUCAAUCACUCUUAAGUCUAUCUCUUUCUUCCUAAUUUUAUGUUUUUGCCUUGGCAAAUCCUUCACUAAAAAGCUAAAGUUGAAGUAACUUAUGAAAUUAAGAUAGAAGCUACUAAAAUAAGACUGUGUACCAAAGAAAUUGAAUAAGCUAACUACUAGCUUAUAAGGUAUUAUAUUGACUCACCAAACUUUUUUUUUAUGAGCAAAACCAUUUAUUAAUCAACUCUAAUUACGUACAAGUUGUACAAAAAUUGGACAACCAUGAAAGUAAACAAGUUUCCUAAUACGCUAACAGAAACUACUAAAUUCAACACCCUAGUUUACUCUAAACAUAUGUAAAUCCACACCCUAUGCACUGGUACCCCUAACAAUACCAAAACAAAAGACAGUCUCCAUAAAACAAAAAUCCCAUAUCCACUAUCAUUAAUUGGCAGCGAGCAUUAGCCUGGUCGAAUCUCUUUAACAAUAAUGAAAAUGGACCAACUAAUAUACAAGUAAAUCACCCAUUAAACCCCCUGCAUCACCCAUAAUAUUAUAAAUUUUAAAAAAUCAACUUUCUUUUUGUACUGGAUUCUUUGUUAUCUGUUUUCUGUGUCCACUUGUCAAUGACCAAUGAUCAUAUCAAACACUCAACAACAUACAAUUUGUCUGCUUGCCUACCAUGUGCUUGAUUAAAUUUGCUAACCAAAACGCCGUAGAUGAACUUAUUCCAAUUACAUAUGCUACUCCCAACUACUUCUGCCCACCCAAACGAAUCUUCCACAACAUCCUUACCCUUCCCUUGUCACUGCAGCAAUAACCCUCCCACCACCUUCAUCCCCUACCCUUAUCAUUGUAUACCAACACAAGACCGUGGAUUCAUAACCCAACCCACCAAAGGAUAAUCAAGACUUUACUUUGCAACACUCCAUUGCCAAGACCUGAUCUUGAUUGAUUCUGCAACUUGUUCCACAUGGUCAUUGUUGCCUUCAAAGAUCAAUACAUUUCAAGAUAUUCAAAUUGACCAAACAGUAGAAAACCAAACUGACAUCCAAUACCUUCUUGAUUUCCCACCACACUCCAGUAAGCCUAAAAACUGAAAGAAACUUAUAUGUAUUGUAUUAUGCAUUGUUGUAUUUAUUUCCCACCACUUCAGAACCAAUACCCAAAUUUGUUACGAAAACACACAAUAAAAAACUAUGUGUUUUGUGUCCUCCACCCCAUACCCACACCUCAUGGAUGCGCCUACUAAACAAUCACUAAUCGUUAUUUUUUUGUUUUGUUGAAUUUUUUUCGUACUUGGUAAAUGCAAUAACAAAAAACUGAUAAUUAGACCAUCCAUAGUUGUUAUCUAACAUUGACAAAUGUUCUAUCAUAUGAAAGAAAAAAUAAGGUGAUUAUUCCUUCACCAAUCGCUAGAUUAUGAUUAAUUCAAUAAUAUUGAAGAAGUUAAAAGGUAAGAUUUUUACUUUUCUCUAUGUUUUUCCACAUGGUGUUCAACACCAUUAAUUUAUUUUACUACUUUAUUUGUCACAAUUUUCAUUAUUGCUUAUGAAGGCAAUGCAUGUCAUGUUUCAUUAAUGACGAAUAAACAAAUAUAGUUUAGAUUUUGUUAAGAAAUAAAAGUAAUUGGAAACAAAAUUUAAAAAUCACAAUCGACUUACUCUGUUGUGAUACCUGCGCUCGUGCCUAUCACUUUAAGUGUGGUUAAUUUACGUAUUAAUUUAAUCCAUUUUUACUAAAUGUUACAAGUUAUUUAACAUUCAAACAUACUUAUUUUUAGUAGGCUCAUUUUAAAUUGAAGAACAAUAAAUCAAUUUCAAAGCAAAUAAUAAGCAUAUCUCUUAAUCAAGGCAAUUAAGAUGAUAAGCGGGAGCGCAGUUAUCACAGCAAAGUAAGUCUCUUGAGAAUUUUUGAAUUUUGCUUCCAGUCACUUGUUUUUCCUUAACAAAAUACUAUAUUCUAUAUGUUUACUCCAUGUUAAUGCAACAUGAAAUACUUAGCAUUCAGAAGCUAUAAUGAAAAUUGUGACACAAAGUAUUAAACAAGUGGUGUUGAUCAUCGGCCAUGUGGAAAAACAGAAAGAAGAAUAAGAAUCCUUACCUUCUAGCUUUUUCUGUGUCAUUGAAUAGAUCAUAAUCCCAAGGACAAUGGGGAAUAAGCUUUUCAAUUUUUUUUUUCUUGUUAUAGGAUAUAACAUCAGCCACUGUAUUAAAUAACAAUUUUGUAUGAUCUUAUGAGUUUUUUUGUAAUUGGA